UACGGGGGGGGCAAGCGUUGUUCGGAAUUACUGGGCGUAAAGGGCUCGUAGGCGGCCAACUAAGUCGGAUGUGAAAUCCCCAGGCUUAACCUGGGAACUGCGUCUGAUACUGGAUGGCUUGAGUUCGGGAGAGGGAUGCGGAAUUCCAGGUGUAGCGGUGAAAUGCGUAGAUAUCUGGAGGAACACCGGUGGCGAAGGCGGCAUCCUGGACCGACACUGACACUGAGACGCGAAAGCGUGGGGAGCGAACAGG
Molecule: ribosomal RNA, 253 nt
Filed under: uncultured bacterium
Lineage: Bacteria
Description: partial 16S ribosomal RNA
Rfam family: Bacterial small subunit ribosomal RNA
Source: RNAcentral